AAAUUAUAGAACCAACUAGCUCCUAGGUGCACCAUAUAACAUCGUUCAUUUGGUGUUGAAGCUCAUCUGUGUGCACAUUUUGGUUGUUUAUAGGUCACUAAUUUGUUUUGGAUAAAGAGGAAAAUGGUCUAGAGAUUGUAUAAAUAUCCAAAUUUAACAGGAAUUCAAUUUUGAAUUUAAUUGUACAGGCAGAAGGAAUUUUUAGAAUU
RNAcentral lists this unclassified non-coding RNA (209 nucleotides) under Hevea brasiliensis (rubber tree). The record is from RNAcentral. Lineage: Eukaryota; Viridiplantae; Streptophyta; Magnoliopsida; Malpighiales; Euphorbiaceae.